Molecule: ribosomal RNA, 499 nt
Filed under: uncultured bacterium
Lineage: Bacteria
Description: bacterial SSU rRNA
Rfam family: Bacterial small subunit ribosomal RNA
Source: RNAcentral
AACGAACGCUGGCGGCGCGCCUAAUACAUGCAAGUCGAGCGAGAAGGUGUAGCAAUACACUUGUAAAGCGGCGAACGGGUGAGGAAUGCAUGGGUAACCUACCCUCGAGUGGGGAAUAACUAGCCGAAAGGUUAGCUAAUACCGCAUACGUUUCCGGAACUUCGGUUUCGGAAAGAAAGCAAUACCGUGGGUAUUGCGCUCAUGGAUGGGCUCAUGUCCUAUCAGCUUGUGGUGAGGUAACGGCUCACCAAGGCUUCGACGGGUAGCUGGUCUGAGAGGACGAUCAGCCACACUGGCACUGCGACACGGGCCAGACUCCUACGGAAGGCAGCAGUAAGGAAUAUUGCGCAAUGGACGAAAGUCUGACGCAGCGACGCCGCGUGGGGGAUGAAGGUCUUCGGAUUGUAACCCUUUCGGGAGGAAGAUGGAGUGGGUAACCGACGUUGGACGGUACCUCCAGAAGCAGCCACGGCUAACUUCGUGCCAGCAGCCGCGGUAA